This 164-nucleotide ribosomal RNA is filed under the name Rhynchosia difformis. RNAcentral describes it as "5.8S ribosomal RNA". It matches the Rfam family "5.8S ribosomal RNA". Rfam says of the family: 5.8S ribosomal RNA (5.8S rRNA) is a component of the large subunit of the eukaryotic ribosome. Lineage: Eukaryota; Viridiplantae; Streptophyta; Magnoliopsida; Fabales; Fabaceae. The record is from RNAcentral.
AGAAUGACUCUCGGCAACGGAUAUCUCGGCUCUUGCAUCGAUGAAGAACGUAGCGAAAUGCGAUACUUGGUGUGAAUUGCAGAAUCCCGUGAACCAUCGAGUCUUUGAACGCAAGUUGCGCCUGAAGCCAUUAGGCUGAGGGCACGCCUGCCUGGGUGUCACAC